Bos taurus (domestic cattle) is the source of this 73-nucleotide non-coding RNA. Lineage: Eukaryota; Metazoa; Chordata; Mammalia; Artiodactyla; Bovidae. The record is from Rfam.
UCCUUGGCGGUCCAGUGGUUAGGACUCCACUCUUCCAAUGCAGGGGCUGCAGGUUUGAUUCCCGCCAGAGGAA